Molecule: ribosomal RNA, 292 nt
Filed under: uncultured bacterium
Lineage: Bacteria
Description: partial 16S ribosomal RNA
Rfam family: Bacterial small subunit ribosomal RNA
Source: RNAcentral
GUGUCAGCCGCCGCGGUAAUACGUAGGGGGCUAGCGUUGUCCGGAAUCAUUGGGCGUAAAGCGCGUGUAGGCGGUCCGGUAAGUCCGCUGUGAAAGUCGGGGGCUCAACCCUCGAAAGCCGGUGGAUACUGUCGGGCUCGAGUGCGGGAGAGGCGAGUGGAAUUCCUGGUGUAGCGGUGAAAUGCGCAGAUAUCAGGAGGAACACCGAUUGCGAAGGCAGCUCGCUGGAACGUUACUGACGCUGAGACGCGAAAGCGUGGGGAGCAAACAGGAUUAGAAACCCCUGUAGUCC